GUAAGGAGGACACUCCACAAUAAUGAUAAAAAGCCUAUUAUAGUAAAUGCAUAAACCAGUUACAGUCAUGUAUUAUCAUUAUCGAGGAUUAGGCACUGUGUACAAGUGCAUAUGCUAGGCUUUUAUUCGAUGUUAGAAUGGUUACCAUAUCACCAAGAGACAGGAGUUUUUGAGCUUCAUUUUAAUCUCAUGGGACCGCCAUUUUGUAUACGUG
RNAcentral lists this long non-coding RNA (214 nucleotides) under Marmota monax (woodchuck). The record is from RNAcentral. Lineage: Eukaryota; Metazoa; Chordata; Mammalia; Rodentia; Sciuridae.